AGAGUUUGAUCAUGGCCCAGAUUGAACGCUGGCGGUAUGCUUAACACAUGCAAGUCGAACGGUAACAGUCCCUCACCUAGAAAUUUCUUAAAAAGAGAUUUGUAGGUGAGGGAGCUGACGAGUGGCGGACGGGUGCGUAAUGUAUAGGAAUCUGCCUAGUAGUGGGGGACAACUCGGAGAAAUUCGAGCUAAUACCGCAUAAGCCCUCCGGGGGAAAACGGGGGAUCUUCGGACCUCGUGCUAUUAGAUGAGCCUAUAUUAGAUUAGCUUGUUGGUGAGGUAAUGGCUCACCAAGGCGACGAUCUAUAGCUGGUCUGAGAGGAUGAUCAGCCACACUGGGACUGAGACACGGCCCAGACUCCUACGGGAGGCAGCAGUGGGGAAUAUUGGACAAUGGGCGAAAGCCUGAUCCAGCAAUACCGCGUGUGUGAAGAAGGCCUGAGGGUUGUAAAGCACUUUCAAUUGGGAGGAAUACCUAAUAGUUAAUAGCUAUUAGAUUGAC
This 502-nucleotide ribosomal RNA is filed under the name uncultured bacterium. RNAcentral's name for it is "bacterial SSU rRNA". It matches the Rfam family "Bacterial small subunit ribosomal RNA", at positions 8 to 473 of the family's 1533-position model. The record is from RNAcentral.